UACGAAGGGGGCGAGCGUUGUUCGGAUUUACUGGGCGUAAAGGGCGCGUAGGCGGCCUUGUCAGUCAGGCGUGAAAGCCCCGGGCUCAACCUGGGAACGGCGCUUGGGACGGCGAGGCUGGAGUUCGGGAGAGGAGAGUGGAAUUCCCAGUGUAGAGGUGAAAUUCGUAGAUAUCGGGAGGAACACCAGUGGCGAAGGCGGCGAUCUGGGAAGAUACUGACGCUGAGGUGCGAAAGCGUGGGGAGCAAACAGG
Molecule: ribosomal RNA, 253 nt
Filed under: uncultured bacterium
Lineage: Bacteria
Description: partial 16S ribosomal RNA
Rfam family: Bacterial small subunit ribosomal RNA
Source: RNAcentral